RNAcentral lists this long non-coding RNA (335 nucleotides) under Helianthus annuus (common sunflower). RNAcentral describes it as "hypothetical non coding rna". Lineage: Eukaryota; Viridiplantae; Streptophyta; Magnoliopsida; Asterales; Asteraceae. The record is from RNAcentral.
UUCCUCCUCAUCUCUCAAAUCUGGAGCCUUAGGAUCUGUUUGGAGCUUAUAUUCUUGUAGAAAAGAUAGCAUGGACCAUUUACUAGAGCCACCCAGUAAAAGCUACCUGCAUUUAGAUAGAUUGGAUACGACUGAGUUAUUUUGCUGUGAAUCAAGUAUUAGCCCAGGUAAAUACUUUUAACUUAUUUUCCCUUAUACGGGCUUGGGAUACGGUAAAUUAAUACCGCUUGGUCGGGUGUGGAUCAAUCAAAUGCCGGAUUGUGGCUAGUAAAUCCACAAAACCUGUUUUGAUACUGUUCUGUUGAUGACUUAAACAUUGGGGGUUAACGACCGUG